RNAcentral lists this ribosomal RNA (238 nucleotides) under uncultured bacterium. RNAcentral describes it as "partial 16S ribosomal RNA". It matches the Rfam family "Bacterial small subunit ribosomal RNA", at positions 96 to 334 of the family's 1533-position model. The record is from RNAcentral.
UGGCGGACGGGUGAGUAACGCGUGGGUAACCUGCCUCAUACAGGGGGAUAACAGUUGGAAACGGCUGCUAAUACCGCAUAAGCGCACAGUACCGCAUGGUACGGUGUGAAAAACUCCGGUGGUAUGAGAUGGACCCGCGUCUGAUUAGGUAGUUGGUGGGGUAACGGCCUACCAAGCCGACGAUCAGUAGCCGACCUGAGAGGGUGACCGGCCACAUUGGGACUGAGACACGGCCCAA